UACGGGAGGCAGCAGUGGGGAAUAUUGCACAAUGGGCGCAAGCCUGAUGCAGCCAUGCCGCGUGUAUGAAGAAGGCCUUCGGGUUGUAAAGUACUUUCAGUCGUGAGGAAGGUGUUAAGGUUAAUAACCUUAGCAAUUGACGUUAGCGACAGAAGAAGCACCGGCUAACUCCGUGCCAGCAGCCGCGGUAAUACGGAGGGUGCGAGCGUUAAUCGGAAUUACUGGGCGUAAAGGGCACGCAGGCGGUUAAUUAAAGUUGGAUGUGAAAUCCCCGGGCUUAACCUGGGAAUGGCAUUCAAGACUGGUUAGCUAGAGUCUUGUAGAGGGGGUAGAAUUCCAUGUGUAGCGGUGAAAUGCGUAGAGAUGUGGAGGAAUACCGGUGGCGAAGGCGGCCCCUGGACAAAGACUGACGCUCAUGUGCGAAAGCGUGGGGAGCAAAACAGGAUUAGAUACC
This 454-nucleotide ribosomal RNA is filed under the name uncultured bacterium. RNAcentral's name for it is "bacterial SSU rRNA". It matches the Rfam family "Bacterial small subunit ribosomal RNA", at positions 340 to 786 of the family's 1533-position model. The record is from RNAcentral.